CGACAAAUCAAUAAACAAGUUGCUUUGAUAGAUAUUGUAAUGACAAAGAUGUGUUCAAAAAUACCGGGCAGCUUCUUUUCAUUUAACAGAUUAAGUAUGUGCUAGCAUUUCCGUGAAGUUGUUGUUGUUAUUGCUGUACUUUUUUUUCAAAGAACAUUUACUGCACGCAUGAAACACUCCGAACAUAUCACAGUGAAAAUAAUUAACCGAUUGAUUUUAACCUGAUGUAUUAAAUUGUUAUGUGGCAAUCUCAUCAUUGAAGAGCAGCAAAUCUCGGAGUUAAUGAGGUUUGUCAUCUCUUUUGAAUGGAUAGAGAGACAUGAAAACACUUUUAUUUUCACGACAGUUCCCAGCGAAUCUCGGUUAAUUAAAAAAGAAGAACCUUUUAACUGUUAGUAUAAAUCUGGAAAAGUAUAAAUUCGAUCAUCGUAGCUCAACAAAAUCAAACAAUAUGGCAGACA
Molecule: long non-coding RNA, 461 nt
Filed under: Mytilus galloprovincialis (Mediterranean mussel)
Lineage: Eukaryota; Metazoa; Mollusca; Bivalvia; Mytilida; Mytilidae
Source: RNAcentral